GACGAACGCUGGCGGCGUGCUUAACACAUGCAAGUCGAACGGAAAGGCCCUGCUUGCGGGGUACUCGAGUGGCGAACGGGUGUGUAACACGUGGGUGAUCUGCCCUGCACUUCGGGAUAAGCCUGGGAAACUGGGUCUAAUACCGGAUAGGAGCCAUUUUUAGUGUGAUGGUUGGAAAGUUUUUUCGGUGUAGGAUGAGCUCGCGGCCUAUCAGCUUGUUGGUGGGGUAAUGGCCUACCAAGGCGGCGACGGGUAGCCGGCCUGAGAAGGUGGACGGCCACAUUGGGACUGGGAUACGGCCCAGACUCCUACGGGAGGCAGCAGUGGGGAAUAUUGCACAAUGGGCGCAAGCCUGAUGCAGCGACGCCGCGGGGGGGAUGACGGCCUUCGGGUUGUAAACUCCUUUCGCUAGGGACGAAGCUUUUUGUGACGGUACCUAGAUAAGAAGCACCGGCUAACUACGUG
This 465-nucleotide ribosomal RNA is filed under the name uncultured bacterium. Its description in RNAcentral is "partial 16S ribosomal RNA". It matches the Rfam family "Bacterial small subunit ribosomal RNA", at positions 28 to 507 of the family's 1533-position model. The record is from RNAcentral.